Molecule: ribosomal RNA, 497 nt
Filed under: uncultured bacterium
Lineage: Bacteria
Description: partial 16S ribosomal RNA
Rfam family: Bacterial small subunit ribosomal RNA
Source: RNAcentral
GAUGAACGCUGGCGGCGUGCCUAAUACAUGCAAGUCGAGCGAACAGACGAGGAGCUUGCUCCUCUGACGUUAGCGGCGGACGGGUGAGUAACACGUGGAUAACCUACCUAUAAGACUGGGAUAACUUCGGGAAACCGGAGCUAAUACCGGAUAAUAUAUUGAACCGCAUGGUUCAAUAGUGAAAGACGGUUUUGCUGUCACUUAUAGAUGGAUCCGCGCCGCAUUAGCUAGUUGGUAAGGUAACGGCUUACCAAGGCGACGAUGCGUAGCCGACUUGAGAGGGUGAUCGGCCACACUGGAACUGAGACACGGUCCAGACUCCUACGGGAGGCAGCAGUAGGGAAUCUUCCGCAAUGGGCGAAAGCCUGACGGAGCAACGCCGCGUGAGUGAUGAAGGUCUUCGGAUCGUAAAACUCUGUUAUUAGGGAAGAACAAAUGUGUAAGUAACUAUGCACGUCUUGACGGUACCUAAUCAGAAAGCCACGGCUAACUACGUG